RNAcentral lists this unclassified non-coding RNA (294 nucleotides) under Hevea brasiliensis (rubber tree). Lineage: Eukaryota; Viridiplantae; Streptophyta; Magnoliopsida; Malpighiales; Euphorbiaceae. The record is from RNAcentral.
GCUGCGAUCGCAUGACAUCACCCCCGAAUUCCUCGACAAGGCGAUUUCCGCCCUUAAACAGUGGGGCUUUGAUUUUCUCUCCAUCGGCGAGGUUGCAGAACGCGCGCAACAGGCGGCCCUCGCACGCCGGUUUGUCUGCCUCACGUUCGACGGCGGCCAUCGCGAUUUCAUGACGUAUGCGUACCCGGUGUUGUCGCGCCAUCGUGUACCGUUCGCCCUGUACAUUCCGACGNGUCGAUGGCAUCGGCAAGGCGUGGUGGCUUGCGCUUGAACAGGUCAUCGCGCGCCAUGCCC